This 503-nucleotide ribosomal RNA is filed under the name uncultured bacterium. RNAcentral describes it as "bacterial SSU rRNA". It matches the Rfam family "Bacterial small subunit ribosomal RNA", at positions 501 to 1006 of the family's 1533-position model. The record is from RNAcentral.
CUACGUGCCAGCAGCCGCGGUAAUACGGAAGGUCCAGGCGUUAUCCGGAUUUAUUGGGUUUAAAGGGAGUGUAGGCGGUUUGUUAAGCGUGUUGUGAAAUUUAGAUGCUCAACAUUUAACUUGCAGCGCGAACUGUCAGACUUGAGUACACGCAACGUAUGCGGAAUUCAUGGUGUGGCGGUGAAAUGCUUAGAUAUCAUGAAGAACUCCGAUUGCGAAGGCAGCAUACGGGAGUGUAACUGACGCUUAAGCUCGAAGGUGCGGGUAUCGAACAGGAUUAGAUACCCUGGUAGUCCGCACAGUAAACGAUGGAUGCCCGCUGUUAGCGCCUGGCGUUAGCGGCUAAGCGAAAGCAUUAAGCAUCCCACCUGGGGAGUACGCCGGCAACGGUGAAACUCAAAGGAAUUGACGGGGGCCCGCACAAGCGGAGGAACAUGUGGUUUAAUUCGAUGAUACGCGAGGAACCUUACCCGGGCUUGAAUUGCAGAGGAAAGAUCCAGAGA